AGGAGUUGAUGUUAUCUAUUCAGCAUGAGCACCCUGGGAUUUGAAUUCAAGUUAACACGCUUGGCAGCAAGUACCAUCUUACCAGCUCGUCUUAUGUGGAUGUGAUUCAUCUUGUUCUUUCCUGUUGUCCCUCUUCCAGGAGACAUUAAUCACGAUGCAUGAAUUGUGAAAAGCAAUAGUUAUAUUCACCUGAGACUAUGUGAUCUUGCAUCUGACCCAUUGGAGAGGAUCAUCCUUAGGAAGUAUACCCUAUUUCUUUUUGUGAAAAAGAGAAGAGAAAAAGAAGAAUGAACAAAUAAAGAGAUUGGCUUGAGUCAACCCAGUGUUGUGUAGGCCAUAUGCCAAAUGCAGAGCUGCCUGGUCUCAGCAGGGUGGCUUUCCUUCAUCCUGGUACAGGGAAGAGUAUUGGAGGUGCAGACAAGUGCCAACUAUUUGAAACACUGCCAAGAGCCUAGAAGAAUUUUGAAGACACAGAAAGAGUGGCCACAUCUUCCUACCACAACUCACUUCAAGUCCUUCAUCUGCUCUGUGAGGAAGUAAUUGUCAGUCUCUUUCUUAAGGCCUCAGGUUCCUCUGAGUGUGGUAUUCAAAUGAUCUCAACACAUUCUCUAGGUGGAAUUCUGGGCUAGGUCUAUCUGUCUGCCCGUCUGUCUCUCUGUCUCUGCCUGUUUGUCUGUUCAUCCCUCUCCCUCCACCCCUUGUGUGUGU
This is a long non-coding RNA of Mus musculus (house mouse), 708 nucleotides long. RefSeq annotates it as predicted gene, 39184. NCBI's taxonomy places the organism in Eukaryota, Metazoa, Chordata, Mammalia, Rodentia, Muridae. The transcript is spliced from 3 exons. The record is from RefSeq and is a predicted model, not a curated record.